UGUAAAUAUCACUUUAAUAUUUAGGUAAAUUUUCCUUUUUCAUUUUCUCCAUGUUUGAUGGAUGUAAUCUAAGUGUAAUUUUCUUGUUGAUAUGCAUUAUAUUUAUACCUCCGAUGGAAGCACGAAUACUCGUGUAGUUACUACAAUGUACACACAGGAUAAUUGGACAAAUUAUGCACGCGGAAUUAGACCGACAAGGUUAAUAAAUAAGAUGAACUUGUUUAUCUGGUAUACAUAUACCCAUUCAUGUACCUAUAAAUUGUUUACGUUUAAAACUAUAGACUGGGAAAUAUCCUAGUACCUGGUAGUGAAAUUUUAGUUUGGAAUGCAAUCGCGCCUACACAUACUUCGCCAUUUUUCAACCGAUAAGUACUAUAAACACUUCGUUAGACACGUCUAUUUUCUGAAUUGUCUAUUUUCCUGAAUUAUUUUAGGUUACCAGACUACAUUUCGGAGGUAAUAUAAAAAAACAAAAUAGUACGUGUCAAAUAAGGAAUGAAAAGAUUUUUCCAACGUUUCGCCUCAGAUUAGAGGUUUUAUCAAAGUUGUGAAUUAUGUUGCUUCAUGGAAUACAUUUACGGUUUGUUAAUGGAUUAAGUAUCACCGACUUUUAAAAAUACCUUGAAAAAGCCUCUAAACUGAGAGAAACGUUGGUUGUUUUUUAAAAUAAAAAAGCUUUUCACCCUUUAUUUGGCAUGUAUUAUUUUGUUGAUACUACUCAGGGGACGAAUUAUGGAAUGUGAUAAUAUAAAGAAGCAGAGAAAGAUCAUCACAGUCCACAGUGUAUCAUUAGAUGACACCAUUUUUUAAUAUAUCUCGCAAUAGGUACAUUCAGUACCAAACCACCCGUCUGAAGAAGCCAAAGUCUGGUGAAAAAUUGCUGCAAAGAUAAUAAAUUUUAAAGUCAUCUUUAAAAUCUACUCUACACAAACUUCGAAAACAACUUGCAAGAUAAGCACUCAAAAAUUACAUUUCUGCAGAUGUACGUAUGCUUUACUGAUAUCCCAUUAAAAUUACGAGGCAAUUACGAGCUUUGAGAUAAACAUUACAUUCAUAAAACAGUAAUGCCAUCUCAAAAGAUAAUUACUAUUGUGUACACUAUACAGUAUAAACAGUCUUUACACCAAAGCAGUACGUUGUGUGAACUACAUAAGUAAAAUAGUAGUUAUCAUCAAAUUUGCAAUUUAAUUUCAAUAAAAGAUAUUAAGUCCUAAAUGUUUGAAACUACUUAUAUAUGUUUAAGAACAUACUUAGGUAUCAGAGAAAAAUCAAAAAUGCAAGGUCAUCAUGAUAAAAAAAUAAAAUUU
Molecule: long non-coding RNA, 1307 nt
Filed under: Agrilus planipennis (emerald ash borer)
Lineage: Eukaryota; Metazoa; Arthropoda; Insecta; Coleoptera; Buprestidae
Description: uncharacterized LOC108733711, transcript variant X1
Source: RNAcentral